AGAUGGCGGAGGUGCAGGUCUUGGUGCUCGAUGGUCAAGGCCAUCUCCUGGGCCGCCUGGCAGCCAUCGUGGCUAAGCAGGUACUGCUGGGCGGGAAGGUGGUGGUCGUUCGCUGCGAGGCUGUCAGUAUUUCUGGCAAUUUCUACAGAAACAAGUUGAAGUACCUGGCUUUCCUCCACAAGCGGAUGAACACCAACCCUUCCCGAGGCCUCUACCACUUCCGGGCCCCCAGCCACAUCUUCUGGUGGACCGUGCAAGGCAUGCUGCUUCACAAGACCAAGCAAGGCCAGGCCGCCUUGGACCUCCUCAGGGUGUUUGACGGCAUCUCACCGCCCCAUACGACAAGAAAAAGCGGAUGGUGGUUCCUGCGGCCCUCAAGGUCGUGCGUCCGAAACCUUCAAGGAAAUUUGCCUAUCUGGGGCGCCUGGCUCACAAGGUUGGCUGGAAGCACCAGGAAGUGACAACCACCCUGGAGGAGAAGAGGAAGGAGAAAGCCAAGAUCCAGUACCGAAAGAAGAAACAGCUCAUGAGGCUACGGAAACAAACCAAGAAGAACGUGGAGAAAAAAAUUGACAAAUACACAGAGGUCCUCAAGACCCAUGGACUCCUGGUCUGAGCCCAAUAAAGACUGUUAAUUCCUCAUGCUUGGCCUGGCCUGCUUUCCUCCAUCGUCACCCUGGAGUGUGCGGGACCCCAGGGCAACAGCAGUCCGGUUGCCACAGGCAGCCUGGGACAUAAGAAGCUCGGAGCAAGGAAAGGGUCUAGUCACUGCCUGCCGAGGUUGCUUGAAAGCACCCAGAAUUGUGCAGGUGUCAUUUAUCUAUGAGCAAUAGGAACAGCAACCAGUUACUAUUAGCAAAAGGAUCUGGAAGACUAAUUGGAGGGGCCUUAGUUGUGAGUGGGGCGUCUGUCUAACUUUCACCUGGUCAUGCACUAUACUCUGCAGCUGUUAGAAUGUGCACGUGCUUGGGAACAGCAUGAGCUUGCUGUUGUACAAAGGGUAUUUAUAGAAGCAUAGACUGGGAAGAUGGGCAUCUCGGGGGUUACAGACAAUGCCCAUGAUCCUCACCUGUGUUUUGUGAUCAGAGUCAAAUAAAUUACUUUUAAAGAAAAAA
Non-coding RNA from Callithrix jacchus (white-tufted-ear marmoset), 1115 nucleotides. The record is from RefSeq and is a predicted model, not a curated record. Lineage: Eukaryota; Metazoa; Chordata; Mammalia; Primates; Cebidae.